GCCAGACUCCUACGGGAGGCAGCAGUGGGGAAUAUUGCACAAUGGGGGAAACCCUGAUGCAGCAACGCCGCGUGAGUGAAGAAGUAUUUCGGUAUGUAAAGCUCUAUCAGCAGGGAAGAAGAUGACGGUACCUGAUUAAGAAGCCCCGGCUAACUACGUGCCAGCAGCCGCGGUAAUACGUAGGGGGCAAGCGUUAUCCGGAUUUACUGGGUGUAAAGGGGGCGCAGACGGCGAUGCAAGCCAGGAGUGAAAGCCCGGGGCCCAACCCCGGGACUGCUCUUGGAACUGCGUGGCUGGAGUGCAGGAGGGGCAGGCGGAAUUCCUGGUGUAGCGGUGAAAUGCGUAGAUAUCAGGAGGAACACCGGUGGCGAAGGCGGCCUGCUGGACUGCAACUGACGUUGAGGCUCGAAAGCGUGGGGAGUAAACAGGAUUAGAUACCCCAGUAU
RNAcentral lists this ribosomal RNA (446 nucleotides) under uncultured bacterium. Its description in RNAcentral is "partial 16S ribosomal RNA". It matches the Rfam family "Bacterial small subunit ribosomal RNA", at positions 330 to 793 of the family's 1533-position model. The record is from RNAcentral.